GAUGGUUGUUGAACCCGCAUGUCAGACAUAAAAGGUGGUUUCGCUACCACUACAGAUGACCGCGGCAUUAGCUAGUUGGUGAGUACGCUCACCAUGCACGAUGCGUAGCGACUGAGAGGGUGAUCGCCACACUGGGACUGAGACACGGCCCAGACUCUACGGGAGGCAGCAGUAGGGAAUCUCCGCAAUGGACGAAAGUCUGACGGAGCAACGCCGCGUGAGUGAUGAAGGUUUUCGGAUCGUAAAGCUCUGUUGUUAGGGAAGAACAAGUACCGUUCGAAUAGGGCGGUACCUUGACGGUACCUAACCAGAAAGCCACGGCUAACUACGUGCCAGCAGCCGCGGUAAUACGUAGGUGGCAAGCGUUGUCCGGAAUUAUUGGGCGUAAAGGGCUCGCAGGCGGUUUCUUAAGUCUGAUGUGAAAGCCCCCGGCUCAACCGGGGAGGGUCAUUGGAAACUGGGGAACUUGAGUGCAGAAGAGGAGAGUGGAAUUCCACGUGUAGCGGUGAAAUGCGUAGAGAUGUGGAGGAACACCAGUGGCGAAGGCGACUCUCUGGUCUGUAACUGACGCUGAGGAGCGAAAGCGUGGGGAGCGAACAGGAUUAGAUACCCUGGUAGUCCACGCCGUAAACGAUGAGUGCUAAGUGUUAGGGGGUUUCCGCCCCUUAGUGCUGCAGCUAACGCAUUAAGCACUCCGCCUGGGGAGUACGGUCGCAAGACUGAAACUCAAAGGAAUUGACGGGGGCCCGCACAAGCGGUGGAGCAUGUGGUUUAAUUCGAAGCAACGCGAAGAACCUUACCAGGUCUUGACAUCCUCUGACAAUCCUAGAGAUAGGACGUCCCCUUCGGGGGCAGAGUGACAGGUGGUGCAUGGUUGUCGUCAGCUCGUGUCGUGAGAUGUUGGGUUAAGUCCCGCAACGAGCGCAACCCUUGAUCUUAGUUGCCAGCAUUCAGUUGGGCACUCUAAGGUGACUGCCGGUGACAAACCGGAGGAAGGUGGGGAUGACGUCAAAUCAUCAUGCCCCUUAUGACCUGGGCUACACACGUGCUACAAUGGACAGAACAAAGGGCAGCGAAACCGCGAGGUUAAGCCAAU
This 1096-nucleotide ribosomal RNA is filed under the name Bacillus sp. B9(2013d). Its description in RNAcentral is "bacterial SSU rRNA". It matches the Rfam family "Bacterial small subunit ribosomal RNA", at positions 172 to 1272 of the family's 1533-position model. The record is from RNAcentral. Lineage: Bacteria; Bacillati; Bacillota; Bacilli; Caryophanales; Bacillaceae.